AUACGGAGGAUGCAAGCGUUAUCCGGAUUUAUUGGGUUUAAAGGGUGCGCAGGCGGCGCGAUAAGUCAGCGGUGAAAUGUACCGGCUCAACCGGUGAGCUGCCGUUGAUACUGUCGUGCUUGAGUGCGAGCGGCGCCGGCGGAAUGUGUGAUGUAGCGGUGAAAUGCAUAGAUAUCACACAGAACACCGAUCGCGAAGGCAGCUGGCGAGGACGUUACUGACGCUGAGGCACGAAAGCGUUGGGAUCAAACAGGAUUAGAUACCCUGGUAGUCCACGCAGUAAACGAUGAUGACUUGUUGUCGGCGACAGACAGUCGGUGACAAAGCGAAAGCGAUAAGUCAUCCACCUGGGGAGUACGAUCGCAAGGUUGAAGCUCAAAUGAAUUGGCGGGG
Molecule: ribosomal RNA, 393 nt
Filed under: uncultured bacterium
Lineage: Bacteria
Description: partial 16S ribosomal RNA
Rfam family: Bacterial small subunit ribosomal RNA
Source: RNAcentral